RNAcentral lists this ribosomal RNA (253 nucleotides) under uncultured bacterium. Its description in RNAcentral is "partial 16S ribosomal RNA". It matches the Rfam family "Bacterial small subunit ribosomal RNA", at positions 524 to 776 of the family's 1533-position model. The record is from RNAcentral.
UACAGAGGGUGCGAGCGUUAAUCGGAAUUACUGGGCGUAAAGCGCGCGUAGGCGGCUUUGCAAGUCGGGUGUGAAAUCCCCAGGCUUAACCUGGGAACUGCAUUCGAGACUGCAUUGCUAGAGUAUGGGAGAGGGAAGUGGAAUUUCCGGUGUAGCGGUGAAAUGCGUAGAGAUCGGAAAGAACCCUCGUGGCGAAGGCGACUUUCUGGCCUAAGACUGACGCUGAGGCGCGACGGCGUGGGGAGCAAACAGG